AAUUUUUUUAAACAUCUUCACUGGGAAAAGCAUCCGGAUGGGGAAAUGGUGAAGGAGAGCUGGAGAAAUGCAAACUUUCACUGCCAGGUUUUAAUCCAGUCUGAGCCAAGAAGGUCAAAGUACAGACCUCAAUCCAACAGAGAAUCCAUGCCACAGGAUCUGAAGAUGCCAGCCACAGAUGCAAGUGACAUGCCAGGAGAAAAUUCUGCUGGAGUAUGGCCAUACAGCCUGGAAAUCAUACAACACCCCAAUGAUUCUGGCUGUGAAAGUCUUCAACAAUACUUUUGAAAUUGUCCAAUUAACUGAGGCACCUUUUGAACAUAUUCAAAUAAUCAAAUAAUCUAACUGAUAAUCAAAUAUUCUAAAAAAAUCAAUAAUAUAAUUGAUGAAUUGACUAAACAUCCCAAUCUUAAUAAAUACAUAUAUAUCAGUA
Anolis sagrei ordinatus is the source of this 433-nucleotide non-coding RNA. The record is from RefSeq and is a predicted model, not a curated record. Lineage: Eukaryota; Metazoa; Chordata; Lepidosauria; Squamata; Anolidae.